UGCGGCGCUUUCGUUCAUUCGUCGUUCUGCGCCCGGUGCGCAUGAUUAUCGUGAAUACGUGUGUUCGCGGUUCGGUUUUAACGUGUGUCGCGUGUUACCCUGCACGAUCGAUCGUCUCUGAAAAUAAUAGUACUCGUAAAAUUGAUUCUUGAUCGUCGACGUAAGAACCAUUACCAUCGUGUCAAAGAAAAGUGCAUCGUUCAGAGGUGAAAGGACAAUUCGAACGUGAAAAGUGUUCGGAACGAUAUCUGGUUUGAGGUUAUAGUGUUAGGCAGCGUAUUUCGAUAAGGAAGGUGCAAGGAUCGGGAUCUUUGAGUUAUAUAUCGUAUAGUGAUUUUGAAUGAAUUUCGACGUAUUAUCGAUCGAAUGGAUGAUACGAAACAGUAAGAUAAGUGCGUACGAAGGACGAGAAUAUUGACGUGCUCGCGCAAUGUGAUUUUUUCAAAUACAGGAAAUGCCGCGAUUCCGUUGGGCAUUGUGAAAGGUCAGGUUAGUUACGAGCGAUCGACGCGAGUACUUUGAAGAUCACGUGUUCAGUGUGAAGUUACAUGUAUAUGAAUUGUUCGUGUUAGAUUUGAAUGCGCGUCCCUCUGUGUUUUGCGACAAGUACGUUCUCGAAAAGAAGAAUUCUGAAUCUGGAAACAAUCCAAUUGAACUUCGAGUGGCAUUUACGCAUUGGUUGUAUUUAUUCUCAAUUAGUGACGUCCUUGACCACGUUUUUGUGUAAACGUUCCACAGCGUAGCUGUAGCAAUACACACGGACAAUAGAAUUUAAAUAAACAUCGUUAAUCAGUUGGUGUAUCAGUGUAAUGUCGUGUAACGAAGUGUAAACAACAAGUUUGCGAAACAUCGACUGCCUUCGAUGAAUUUGUACACCGGUAACUGGAUUACAGCGAAACAUGUUUGUGUUUCGUUGAAGAAAUUAGAUUAUCACGGGAGAAACUCAUCUACGAAUUAGUGAACCAUUCAACCCAUUGGUGAUUUCGACGGAUUGAAUACUCGUCGUUCCAGAGUUGGUAAGUUUAUAGAUUAUAUGCUUGGAAAAGGAU
Bombus impatiens (common eastern bumble bee) is the source of this 1049-nucleotide long non-coding RNA. RefSeq lists it as uncharacterized. The record is from RefSeq and is a predicted model, not a curated record. NCBI's taxonomy places the organism in Eukaryota, Metazoa, Arthropoda, Insecta, Hymenoptera, Apidae. The transcript has 3 exons.